GCAUUGGUGGUUCAGUGGUAGAAUUCUUGCCUUCCAUGUGGGAGACCUGGGUUUGAUUUCUGGUCAGUACA
RNAcentral lists this transfer RNA (71 nucleotides) under Loxodonta africana (African savanna elephant). It matches the Rfam family "tRNA". Rfam says of the family: Transfer RNA (tRNA) molecules are approximately 80 nucleotides in length. Their secondary structure includes four short double-helical elements and three loops (D, anti-codon, and T loops). Further hydrogen bonds mediate the characteristic L-shaped molecular structure. tRNAs have two regions of fundamental functional importance: the anti-codon, which is responsible for specific mRNA codon recognition, and the 3' end, to which the tRNAs corresponding amino acid is attached (by aminoacyl-tRNA synthetases). tRNAs cope with the degeneracy of the genetic code in two manners: having more than one tRNA (with a specific anti-codon) for a particular amino acid; and 'wobble' base-pairing, i.e. permitting non-standard base-pairing at the 3rd anti-codon position. The record is from Rfam by way of RNAcentral. Lineage: Eukaryota; Metazoa; Chordata; Mammalia; Proboscidea; Elephantidae.